UACGGAGGGGCGUAGCGUUGUUCGGAAUUACUGGGCGUAAAGCGCACGUAGGCGGCUUGAAAGUUAGGGGUGGAAAGCCCGGAGCUCAACUCCGGAAUUGCCUUCAAAACUCUUAAGCUAGAGUUCGGAAGAGGAGAGUGGAAUUCCCAGUGUAGAGGUGAAAUUCGUAGAUAUUGGGAAGAACACCAGUGGCGAAGGCGACUCGCUGGACAGGUAUUGACGCUGAGGUGCGAAAGCGUGGGGAGCAAACAGGA
This 254-nucleotide ribosomal RNA is filed under the name uncultured bacterium. RNAcentral describes it as "partial 16S ribosomal RNA". It matches the Rfam family "Bacterial small subunit ribosomal RNA", at positions 524 to 777 of the family's 1533-position model. The record is from RNAcentral.